This 471-nucleotide ribosomal RNA is filed under the name uncultured Rhizophagus. RNAcentral's name for it is "eukaryotic LSU rRNA". It matches the Rfam family "Eukaryotic large subunit ribosomal RNA", at positions 288 to 630 of the family's 3401-position model. The record is from RNAcentral. Lineage: Eukaryota; Fungi; Glomeromycota; Glomeromycetes; Glomerales; Glomeraceae.
UAAAAUGGGAGGUAAAUUUCUCCUAAGGCUAAAUAACGGCGAGAGACCGAUAGCGAACAAGUACCGUGAGGGAAAGAUGAAAAGAACUUUGAAAAGAGAGUUAAACAGUACGUGAAAUUGUUGAAAGGGAAACGAUUGAAGCCAGUCGUACCUAUGGGUAAUCAGCCUUUUGGGUGUGAUUUUGUGGGGCGUGAAGAGUUAAACGCCUUCAUGCCUGCAUAUUCGUGCACUUUGGGUGUACUUGCCCGUGUGUAAGUUAACAUCAAUUUUGGUGGUCAUAAAAUGGCUGGAGGAAUGUAGCUUCGAUCUUGUAUUGAAGUGUUAUAGCCUUCGGUAGAUGUGACGAUCGGGAUUGAGGAUUGCAACGGAUACCCUUCGGGGCUACCUGUCUGAUCUCUGAUUGUUGCUCUGGUGCCGAAAGCUUGCUUACGGUUAUCAAAGUCGAUGGUCAAUAGGUUAGAACGGGUUAAA